AUUGAACGCUGGCGGCAGGCCUAACACAUGCAAGUCGAGCGGAUGAGAGGAGCUUGCUCCUCGAUUCAGCGGCGGACGGGUGAGUAAUGCCUAGGAAUCUGCCUAGUAGUGGGGGACAACGUUUCGAAAGGAACGCUAAUACCGCAUACGUCCUACGGGAGAAAGUGGGGGAUCUUCGGACCUCACGCUAUUAGAUGAGCCUAGGUCGGAUUAGCUAGUUGGUAGGGUAAAGGCCUACCAAGGCGACGAUCCGUAACUGGUCUGAGAGGAUGAUCAGUCACACUGGAACUGGGACACGGUCCAGACUCCUACGGGAGGCAGGAGUGGGGAAUAUUGGACAAUGGGCGAAAGCCUGAUCCAGCCAUGCCGCGUGUGUGAAGAAGGCCUUCGGGUCGUAAAGCACUUUAAGUUGGGAGGAAGGGCUCAUAGCGAAUACCUGUGAGUUUUGACGUUACCAACAGAAUAAGCACCGGCUAACUUCGUGCCAGCAGCCGCCGUAA
Molecule: ribosomal RNA, 500 nt
Filed under: uncultured bacterium
Lineage: Bacteria
Description: partial 16S ribosomal RNA
Rfam family: Bacterial small subunit ribosomal RNA
Source: RNAcentral